This is a long non-coding RNA of Phragmites australis (common reed), 431 nucleotides long. RefSeq lists it as uncharacterized. The record is from RefSeq and is a predicted model, not a curated record. NCBI's taxonomy places the organism in Eukaryota, Viridiplantae, Streptophyta, Magnoliopsida, Poales, Poaceae. The transcript has 3 exons.
GUGGAGUACGUGCCGGAGAAGGCCGACCUGGACGACGCCAUCCUCGCUGACUUCAAGAACAUCUUCGACAAGUUUACCUUCAAGGACUCCUCCGCUGCCGCCGAGGACGAUGAUAAGAAGGAUGAGGCUGGCACUAAUGCGGUGAAGAAGGGGGACGGAUCUGACUCGGACGACGACACACAGGAGGCCCAACAAAAGAAGGAAGGAGGCGUAUCCAAUAAACAGAAGAAACUGCAACGGAGGAUGAAGAUUGCAAAGUUGAAACAGAUAUGCGCCAGGCCGGAUGUGGUUGAGGUAGCACCUCUCCUAUUUUACCUAUGCUUAAUUGAAUUUGCCGCCUUUCUUCCUCCCAUAUUUGUCCAUCUAGCAUUGCAUUGCCAAGGUCGGCCAGUAGUAGGAUCUUGAUAGAUUCGAAGUGAAUCCAGAGAUGU